Molecule: long non-coding RNA, 1925 nt
Filed under: Betta splendens (Siamese fighting fish)
Lineage: Eukaryota; Metazoa; Chordata; Actinopteri; Anabantiformes; Osphronemidae
Description: lncRNA (ENSBSLG00000001593.1)
Source: RNAcentral
GUUUGUACAUGUUUAUUUUUAUUAUUUUAAUUCUUAGUUAUUUCUUAUUUUAAACACAAUUUAUGGAAACAGGAAUUAAGAACGUGUCAAGGUCUUUUGUGGGUGUUGGUUUCAGAUAAAGAGAAGGAAACAAGUUUCGUUGGAUAUGUAUCGUCUGACUCACAUUUCUUUCUUCCCUUUUCUUGUAGAGAUGCUGCAGAAGAUUCUAACAUGAAACCAGUUGGUACCAGGUGUGAGAGCUGUGAGCUGCAGAUGUGAGUAAACGACUUUCUGUAGCCAAUGAUUUAUAGUAAGACUAGAUCGUUGUUAAUUUUAAUAAAUUUGUAGAAAAUGAACAGAUCGAAUACAUUUUUAAAUUAAUUCUCAAUCAAAGGAUCAUUAUCUAGUAAAUAUAAUUUAUUUAAUGACCAGUACAAAUGUCCAUCAAACGCUUCCAAUUUACUAUGGACUCUUUGUAGCUUGUGCUUGUCCACAGUGAAGCGUUCUCUUCAUGAGGACUCAGACUUGAUGUGAGGAUGGGACACACUUUCCUCUGUGAGCUGCAGUUUCUAUUGCUGAUCAGACUUUUCUGGUGUGGACACGCUGAAGAUGCUGUGUUGACCCUUGAACCCAACUGGACCAGAUUUGUUCCUGGAGAGUCUGUGACCUUCACAUGUGACAUGAAGGAGGGAGAAAAUACUGACUGGGAAAUUAGAUUCACCAAAGAUGGACAAAAGUUUGUUCGUGAUAGUUCAGCUCCAACUCUAACAAUAAAAAAACUUUUUACAAGACACAGUGGUAAAUACCAGUGCUCUGGUCUUCACAAGACUAAAAAACAUAUGAAAAUCAGUAAAAGCAUCUCUUUAAUUGUAUCAGGUGAGUUUUAAUUUAUGAUUUAUUACAAUGAUUGUGCUCCUGUUUGGCACUUUCACGGCCUGGACUCACUUCAUGUUUUAUUUUCCUAUACUUCCUGUUUUGUCUUGUCACUUUUGUUUUAGCUUUACUUUGCAGUCACAUGAUAUCACCAGCUGUAUUCCAUCAAUCUUUACUCACCUGUGUUUUUUCAUCCAGUAUUUAGGCACCACCUCUCACCCCAGCACCUUGCCAGAUUGUCUGUGUGUACUAGCCAGCAUUCCAGCAUUGUAUGUCGUAGCUUGAUCCGUGUAUGACCCUGUUUUCCCUGACCUUGCCUCCUGCCUCACCUUUGAUCCUGCUUCACUAUAAGUCUGACCUAAGCCUGCCUCCUGACCACCGACUGUCUGAUCCUUGCCUGCGCCGCUACUGCCUCAAUUGUGUAUCGACGCUUGCCUGCCUGACUACGAGUUCUAUUAAACCUUCUUCAUCACCGAGCUUUGUCUCCGCUGUGCAUGUGGGUCCGCUACCCAGAGCGCUGUGACAGGCACAGUGGUUGGAGCAUUGGGCUGCUGACUCCCAGGUCAUGGGUUUGAAUCUAGCUGCACAGGUUGUAAGCCAGUGACUUCUAAAUAGAGGGGUUGUGUCAGGAAGUGCGUCCCUGACAGGAAAAACAUGAUAACAAUGAUGAUGUUUACAACAUACUUUUGAUUUUGUUUGGCCAAAUUAUGUUUAAAUCUGUGUUUAAAUGUAGACUCAUCAUGUUGAUCUCACUGUGUGAAGACUGUUUUGAUCAUUCUGAUAAAUUCUGCUGGAUCAUUGUGUUUUACUGUGUAAAUGUGGUAUUCAGUGGUUAAACUAUUGUUGUCACGCAAUAUAAAAAGGUUACUUGAUUUUUUUACUAAACACAUUUUACUUAAUUAAAUUGAUUACAUUUUGAUUUCUUCUUUUUUAGUUGAGACUGCUGCCGUCCAUUCUUUUUACUGUUCUUCUAUACUGCUGUACUGUUUAAUGUCUUCUCGCUGCUGUAGACAAAAGAAUUUCCCCAUUCUGGAAUGAAUAAACUUUAUCUUCUCUUAUCUUAUGUAUUUAGA